RNAcentral lists this ribosomal RNA (441 nucleotides) under uncultured bacterium. RNAcentral describes it as "partial 16S ribosomal RNA". It matches the Rfam family "Bacterial small subunit ribosomal RNA", at positions 338 to 795 of the family's 1533-position model. The record is from RNAcentral.
CCUACGGGCGGCUGCAGUGGGGGAUAUUGCACAAUGGGGGAAACCCUGAUGCAGCGACGCCGCGUGUGGGAAGACGGUCCUCUGGAUUGUAAACCACUGUCCCCAGGGACGAAGAUGACGGUACCUGAGUAAGAAGCACCGGCCAAAUACGUGCCAGCAGCCGCGGUAAUACGGAGGGUGCAAGCGUUGUCCGGAUUUACUGGGGGUAAAGGGAGCGCAGGCGGCACGGCAAGCCUGAUGUGAAAGCCCGCGGCCCAACCGCGGGACGGCAUUGGGACCUACCGGGCUGGAGUGCCGGAGAGGUAGACGGAAUUCCUGGUGUAGCGGUGAAAUGCGUAGAUAUUAGGAGGAACACCAGUGGCGAAGGCGGCCUACUGGACGGUAACUGACGCUGAGGCACGAAAGCGUGGGGAGCAAACAGGAUUAGAUACCCUAGUAGUC